UGAGGAAUAUUGGUCAAUGGUCGCUAGACUGAACCAGCCAAGUAGCGUGCGGGAUGAAGGCCCUCCGGGUCGUAAACCGCUUUUAGACGGGGAUAAAAGGGCGUACGUGUACGCCGUAUUGCAUGUACCGUCAGAAAAACGGACCGGCUAAUUCCGUGCCAGCAGCCGCGGUAAUACGGAGGAUGCGAGCGUUAUCCGGAUUUAUUGGGUUUAAAGGGUGCGCAGGCGGAGUGCCAAGUCAGCGGUAAAAUUUCGGGGCUCAACCCCGGCGAGCCGUUGAAACUGACGCCCUUGAGUGCGCGAGAAGUAUGCGGAAUGCGUGGUGUAGCGGUGAAAUGCAUAGAUAUCACGCAGAACUCCGAUUGCGAAGGCAGCAUACCGGCGCGCAACUGACGCUCAUGCACGAAAGCGUGGGUAUCGAACAGGAUUAGAUACC
Molecule: ribosomal RNA, 436 nt
Filed under: uncultured bacterium
Lineage: Bacteria
Description: bacterial SSU rRNA
Rfam family: Bacterial small subunit ribosomal RNA
Source: RNAcentral